CGGCCGGGCGAUAUUUCGUGCCACGAUGCCCCUAAAACUCUUCCACACGUACUCCAGACUGCUGCGCUUCGACGACCGCGAGACGAGACGCACGAGACGACCCACGGACAAAUUGGUGGCCGUUCGAGAGGUCUGGGACGCGUGGGUGGCGCGGCUACUGCGCCUCUACAACCCGGGGCCCGAAGUGACCGUGGACGAGCAACUGGUUCCGUUCAGAGGAGCUGCCAGAUAUGUCCCUCGUCAUUAAGGGGAGUCAUGAAACCACCCAGUCUGUUGGAAACAUCUGAGGGUGGUCAGCACUUUGAAAGGACACACAGUUAUGUCCACACACACUUCAAGAAAAAGACUUCAAGUACAAAUGGAAUUGGGGAAGGACCAAAUAAAAACUGGUGAAGCGAAGUCCCUGCAGCAGACCCUAAAUGACAAACAGACAGAUAGAGGGAUGGAUGGAUGGACAGAGAGAACAUAGGAACACAGAACGUUCUAAAGGAAGGAUGAUGUAUCUUGCCCAAAGACACCUCGGCAUGCAGAUGGGGAAGACUGGGAUCGAACCGAUGACCUGGUUAGAGAAUGACCGCCGGUCAUGCCAAUCGGCUUGCUGCUCCCUCACUGCAAGCUAACCACUCAAC
This is a long non-coding RNA of Hippoglossus stenolepis (Pacific halibut), 629 nucleotides long. RefSeq lists it as uncharacterized. The transcript has 4 exons. NCBI's taxonomy places the organism in Eukaryota, Metazoa, Chordata, Actinopteri, Pleuronectiformes, Pleuronectidae. The record is from RefSeq and is a predicted model, not a curated record.